AUGUGUUUUCAAAUGUUUUUAUUUUGUUAAUUUGUACAGAUUGAAGUAUCAACAGUUCAUUUAUAAUUCACUUAUCACAUCAACAAUUACAAUGUCUUUAGAACUGAGAUCAAAAUAAAAUCUAAGGCUACAUUUUAUAUAUAUAUAUAUACAAAAAAAAAAAAAAAAAGAUUAAAAAAAAGGAAAAUUUAGAAAUUUAUAACUCAUUAUGGUGUUCAUAAUGGAUAAGACUGGACAUAUAUCAAGUGAUUAAUAAAGAUGCAUUCAUUAUUACAACAAUAAUAACAAAAUAUAUAUAAUAUAUAUAAACAAUAGAUGUGCUUAACCUAUGAUUGCCUACAAUGUUGUCAAACAAAAUAUCUAAAUUUAAAAAAUAUCCCCAAAUAAGGUUCAUAGGUCAAACAUAGACAGGCAAGUCAUAAACUAAGCCUCUUGUUACAUAGUGAGAAAAGAUUUUUUUAAAGGUUUAAACACCUCUCCCCACCGCAAACUAGAAUCUACAUUAACAUAAUAAUUUACAUUCCAAAAGCCCCAUAACCUUCUAGCAUAUAUUAGUUCCUUGAGGCCAACUUUCUAAGAUCUACCCCAACAGUUUUGUCAUGCUCUGAUUACCCAACCCCACAACAAUGAAUGAUCUAAGGGCCAAAACAGUCUAAGAUAUAAUAUAUCUACAUUCUUCUUUUCACAUAACCAAUUCUAAGUAAAUAGAAUGUCUAACAUAGUAGGCCUGUGUAAUGGUAUCAAAAUUAACGUUUUGAAAUGCAAUAAUUAGAGUUGAUGAUAAACAAUAACAGACACAGAACCUUUAAUUUGGGUCUUUCAAAGUGGGUUAAAGAAAACAUAUUAUAUAGCCUAAUUUGUGCCUAAAGUUGUGUGCUUAGAUAAUGGGGAAUCAAACUCAUUUAAUGACUGACAUUCAAAACUUCUAGUCAUGUGAUUUUGUUGUAUAAUUGCCUCACAAAACUAACUUCAGAAAUAGAAUGCUUCAGUGUAGUAGACCAAACUUACAAUCUCAGCAGUUACGUGGCACUUCACUCAAAACAAGGCAAAAGACAGAGAGGAGUGGAGAAAGACGGUCGACAAAUCUUGCUUGGUGCCCAAACGGUCCAACAGACUAAGGGAUAGCUAAAAGUAGCUUAAAAUCACAAUUUACACAAAAUCAAAAUAAUGGCAUGAUGUCAGACAUAACUGUUGAAAAAAAUAUAAUGUAAAAACAAGAUGUGAAAAAGCCACAGAUUUAAAAAAUAUAAAUUUGUCUACAAUUUCUUUCAAGACCCACACCCUAACUAUACAAGUGAAAACUGAUCACAAAACUGACAGAUCUUUUCCAUGUAUAAAGUGGAAGACCGUCAUGAAAUAAUAAAUUAUGGAAUAAUCAAUGGAUUAGAAGCUUCAUGAACAUUAAAACAUGGCAUCAAACUUCAUUCAAAUGAUGAGUGUCAAAUAUCAUUAUAAUACAUUAUCAUACAUUUACCAAUUCUGGUCAUAGAAAAACAACCAAAAAAGUUAAUGGAAACUUGAUCAUAACAUUAUCUGUAAAGUUUAUUAUUAGUAAAAAAUGUUACAUUGAGGAGUUUUCAAAACAUCUUAUCUUAUAAAUUUCAAAUACUUCAAAUAUCCAAUGAGAAGAUAAUUAUGUCCUACCCUUAUCCAUGUGUUAACUUAGUCAUGCAUGUUAGUUUAAAGACUUAAUUAAACUCUUCUAAGUCGUUGGUUUUCCUGACUGAUUCAGGCAACCCAUUUUAUGCUCUAAUGGCACUAAGGAAGAAGGAGCAUAAAAGAAUUUUAUACAAUUCAUCUGCAUUUUAAAUUUUUGUAAAAAUUUCUGUGCUGGAAAAUGAUAAAACUAUUGCAGUAUACAAAAAUGUAUACAUUUUUUUACAGCAGAUAAAGAUCUAGUAUAUAAAUCAGGAGAAUGCUAUGCAAAUUUUCACAUAUCAACAGUAAACCAAUACUAGUUUACAAAAUUCGAUUAUAGCUAAAUGUACAUGGAAAUCUGUAUAUCAUCAUAGCAAAUUUAGGUCUGUUUAGAUCAAUGACACAAGGACAUUAAAAAUCCUUUAUAGCUAGAAAUAAAAUUGAUCAUUAAAUUUACAAGUGUAAAAAAAUUAAUUUCUAAAAUUCUAAAUUUGUAAUUCUUUUAUAUUGGAUACAUAACUUUAUAAACAACUCUAAACAUAAGAUUGUGUGUACAAAAAGUUGAGCUACAAAUUUUAAUAGAAUAUUUUGAUCCGAGAGGGAAAUAGCAUAGCCUGAGGAUACUGUUGAUAAUUCGUUGAUCACCAAAAGGCUAUGUCAGCUUG
Non-coding RNA from Biomphalaria pfeifferi, 2303 nucleotides. Lineage: Eukaryota; Metazoa; Mollusca; Gastropoda; Planorbidae. The record is from the annotation of a GenBank genome assembly.